This 492-nucleotide ribosomal RNA is filed under the name uncultured bacterium. Its description in RNAcentral is "partial 16S ribosomal RNA". It matches the Rfam family "Bacterial small subunit ribosomal RNA", at positions 29 to 507 of the family's 1533-position model. The record is from RNAcentral.
AGUGAACGCUGGCGGUAGGCCUAACACAUGCAAGUCGAACGGCAGCACAGUAAGAGCUUGCUCUUACGGGUGGCGAGUGGCGGACGGGUGAGGAAUACAUCGGAAUCUACUUUUUCGUGGGGGAUAACGUAGGGAAACUUACGCUAAUACCGCAUACGACCUACGGGUGAAAGCAGGGGAUCUUCGGACCUUGCGCGAUUGAAUGAGCCGAUGUCGGAUUAGCUAGUUGGCGGGGUAAAGGCCCACCAAGGCGACGAUCCGUAGCUGGUCUGAGAGGAUGAUCCGCCACACGGGAACUGAGACACGGUCCAGACUCCUACGGGAGGCAGCAGUGGGGAAUAUUGGACAAUGGGCGCAAGCCUGAUCCAGCCAUACCGCGUGGGUGAAGAAGGCCUUCGGGUUGUAAAGCCCUUUUGUUGGGAAAGAAAAGCAGCAGGUUAAUACCCCGCUGUUCUGACGGUACCCAAAGAAUAAGCACCGGCUAACUUCGUG